GUACUUUUGUAUAUAAAUAUAUAGAGUGUACCUUCACCUAUCGUCCGCUUAUUUGAGUGCCUUAUUGGAAUGAUGUUGAGUCCACAUGUUCAGACAGACAGGAAGUGGCUGAUUAAAUCACCUUUAUUAAAAGAUACAAGAUGCUGGAAUACCAACACUUUAGAAUGCAGAAGUACUUUACACACAGGCCCAGGCUUGUGUCCAAUAUGGCCCCUUAUUCACUAUAUAGUGCACUACUUUACACACAGGCCCAGGCUUGUGUCCAAUAUGGCCCCUUAUUCACUAUAUAGUGCACUACUUUACACACAGGGCCAGGCUUGUGUCCAAUAUGGCCCCUUAUUCACUAUAUAGUGCACUACUUUACACACAGGGCCAGGCUUGUGUCCAAUAUGGCCCCUUAUUCACUAUAUAGUGCACUACUUUACACACAGGCCCAGGCUUGUGUCCAAUAUGGCCCCUUAUUCACUAUAUAGUGCACUACUUCACACACAGGCCCAGGCUUGUGCCCAACCAAACUCACAUAGAGGCUGUAUCCAAUAUGGCCCCUUAUUCACCAUGUAGUGCACUACUUUAGACCAGAGCCCUAUUCCCUAUAUAGGGCACUACUUUAGACCAGAGCCCUAUUCCAUAUAUAGUGCACUACUUUAGACCAGAGCCCUAUUCCCUAUAUAGUGCACUACUUUAGACCAGAGCCUUAUUCCAUAUAUAGUGCACUACUUUAGACCAGAGCCCUAUUCCCUAGAUAGUGCACUACCUUUAACUACAGCAUUAUUCCAUAUAUAGUGCACUACUUUAGACCAGAGCCCUAUUCCCUAUAUAGUGCACAACAUUAUACUACAGCCCUAUUCCCUAUAUAGUGCACUACUUUAUACUACAGCCCUAUUCCCUAUAUAGUGCACUACUUUUAACCAGAGCCCUGAAUAGACCAGACACCUAAUCAUCUAUAUACAUCUUAAUCUAGCAUUGUGUUUCUCCUAUUAAUCACCCUGUGAAUGACUCUCUAUGGGUCCAGGUUAACACACUAUAAAGGGGAACAGAAUGACUCUCUAUGGGUCCAGGUUAACACACUAUAAAGGGGAACAGAAUGACUCUCUAUGGGUCCAGGUUAACACUCUAUAAGGGGAACAGAAUGACUCUCUAUGGGUCCAGGUUAACACACUAUAAAGGGGAACAGAAUGACUCUCUAUGGGUCCAGGUUAACACACUAUAAAGGGGAACAGAAUGACUCUAUGGGUCCAGGUUAACACUCUAUAAGGGGAACAGAAUGACUCUCUAUGGGUCGAGGUUAACACUCUAUAAGGGGAACAGAAUGACUCUCUAUGGGUCCAGGUUAACACACUAUAAAGGGAACAGAAUGACUCUAUGGGUCCAGGUUAACACUCUAUAAGGGGAACAGAAUGACUCUCUAUGGGUCCAGGUUAACACAUUAUAAAGUGAAUAAGAGUCCAUUUGGAACACAGCUACAGUAGUAAUAACAAAGGUAUUUUUUGAUCAAAAUCCCUGUAAAUAUCUGCGGUAUCCUUGCCAACCCAUUUCAAUCUGCAGGUUGGUUUUUUUCUUUUCAAAAUCACAACGUGACAGUAAACCAGUCUUUAAAGAAAAAAGAGAUCUGAAACCAUGCAACACUCAACAAGCCCACGUUACAGUUACUUCUGGGUUCGCCACCGUUUUGAAUGGCAUCAUCAAUAUCAUCAUCAUCAUCAUCAUCAUCAUCAUCAUCAAUAUCAUCAUCAUCAUCAUCAAUAUCAUGAUCAUCGUCAUCAAUAUCAUGAUCAUCAUCAUCAAUAUCAUCAUCAUCAAUAUCAUGAUCAUCAUCAUCAAUAUUAUCAUCAUCAAUAUCAUGAUCAUCAUCAAUAUCAUCAUCAUCAUCAUCAAUAUCAUGAUCAUUAUCAAUAUCAUGAUCAUCAUCAACAAUAUCAUGAUCAUCAUCAAUAUCAUCAUCAUCAAUAUCAUGAUCAUCAUCAAUAUCAUGAUCAUCAUCAUCAUCAUCAAUAUCAUCAUCAUCAUCAUCAAUAUCAUCAUCAUCAAUAUCAUGAUCAUCAUCAAUAUCAUGAUCAUCAUCAUCAUCAUCAAUAUCAUCAUCAUCAUCAUCAAUAUCAUCAUCAUCAACACUUACAACACCAUAAGACUUCACACAACAGUGACAAGGACGUUUUGACGUUUUUUUUUUUGGGGGAGACAGAAUCGAUCAAAUCUCGAAGACCUCAUCCACUGAGUUUCCAUGACAGGACAAAACGGGUCACGUCGUAGAUAGAACGGGGUUCUCUUCUGUUUCAUUAGUUCGUUACCCGAGUCCAUCGCUGCCUUUAGGCCUCAUGCUUGGUGUUAAAGGGGGACAGUGACCCCGAGCAACAGAUAUACACUACACUUCAGCAAACUAACCACUGGCACCAAACACUAACCUGCUGCUCCCAGAUCAGUGUCUAACCUCCGUGUUGGCACCAAACACUAACCUGCAGCUCCCAGAUCAGUGUCUAACCUCCGUGUUGGCACCAAACACUAACCUGCUGCUCCCAGAUCAGUGUCUAACCUCCGUGUUGGCACCAAACACUAACCUGCAGCUCCCAGAUCAGUGUCUAACCUGCUGCUCCCAGAUCAGUGUCUAACCUGCUGCUCCCAGAUCAGUGUCUAACCUGCUGCUCCCAGAUCAGUGUCUAACCUGCUGCUCCCAGAUCAGUGUCUAACCUGCUGCUCCCAGAUCAGUGUCUAACCUCCGUGUUGGCACCAAACACUAACCUGCAGCUCCCAGAUCAGUGUCUAACCUGCUGCUCCCAGAUCAGUGUCUAACCUGCUGCUCCCAGAUCAGUGUCUAACCUGCUGCUCCCAGAUCAGUGUCUAACCUGCUGCUCCCAGAUCAGUGUCUAACCUGCUGCUCCCAGAUCAGUGUCUAACCUGCUGCUCCCAGAUCAGUGUCUAACCUGCUGCUCCCAGAUCAGUGUCUA
Oncorhynchus tshawytscha (Chinook salmon) is the source of this 2942-nucleotide long non-coding RNA. Lineage: Eukaryota; Metazoa; Chordata; Actinopteri; Salmoniformes; Salmonidae. The record is from Ensembl.